UCUAUAGCAUAAAGACUAACCGGACACUAAAAACCACAGUUUAAAAUCCAAAGAUCUUGGCGGUGUCUCAUACAUUCAGGGGAACCUGUCCCUUAAUUCGAUAAUCCACGAAUGCUCAACCUCUUCUCGAUAUCAGCUUAUGUACGGCCGUUUAGCGUGCCUUAAAAAGAAGUACGCAAUAAUAAAUCUAUAGACCUCAGGUCAAAGUGUAGCCAAUGAAGAGGCGGUGAUGGGUUACAUUUUCAAAUAAAAUCCAAAGUUAAAUAAAAAUCUAAUCUAAAGUUGGACUUGAAAGUAAUUUAUACUACUUAAUAAACAUGAAUACUAACAUGGGACAUGCACACAUCGCCCGUCACUCUCGUUGAAAAAUG
This 371-nucleotide ribosomal RNA is filed under the name Varichaetadrilus sp. YL-2017. RNAcentral's name for it is "partial 12S ribosomal RNA". It matches the Rfam family "Bacterial small subunit ribosomal RNA", at positions 875 to 1415 of the family's 1533-position model. Lineage: Eukaryota; Metazoa; Annelida; Clitellata; Tubificida; Naididae. The record is from RNAcentral.